Long non-coding RNA from Entelurus aequoreus (snake pipefish), 2589 nucleotides. RefSeq lists it as uncharacterized. The transcript is spliced from 10 exons. The record is from RefSeq and is a predicted model, not a curated record. Lineage: Eukaryota; Metazoa; Chordata; Actinopteri; Syngnathiformes; Syngnathidae.
CAGUGUUAGAGUUACUCUGAUUAGCCCCGCCCUCCAGCCCCUCCUCGUGUCCACACCCUGAAGAAUUUUCUGGAAGCCAUAUUCUGAAUGUUUAAGGACUGCGGGAAAAUGCUGGUAAAAGUGAGAAUGGGUGAUGUCCAAAAAGUUGUUAGAAUAACAGAACCAAAUUUGACGGACUUUUUGAAUGCAGCAUUUGCCAAAUUGGGUGUCCCAGCUGUAACAGAAGGUGUCAAAGUUGUUGACAGUUCAGGGACUGAGAUAGAUGAUGAUGUUUUUGAGGAAAUUGUGAAGGAUCCAUCCACUGGGGUUCUAACCAUCAAAUACGAAACAGAAUCUGUCUCCAUGGUAACCUCUCCAAAGUCCCAAUCAUCCGUUUGUUCAUCGGACUCAGACACAAUCAUCCUUGAAGACACUCCUACUAGAAAGCGUCAGAGGCUGGACUCUGAAGCUAUGCAACUGGUGAAAUCCAUUCUUACCAAGAAAUCGGGUGGAGAAUAUAUAAUAAAUAAAUACAACCGAACUAAGUCCUUGACAGAUGAGAGCAGAAGAAAAUUGGUGAAUAUACUGGCAGCUGAGAUGACGGAGAAGAAUGGAUAAGUUGUUUAUUGGUUUUGAUUGGCACAUGUGUUCUUAUUUAGGUUUCAGAGUAAUUUUAAAUCUAAAGUAAAUAAUAAACAUUUCACUACAUCUUAUAAAACGUGUGUAUGACAAAUAAACUUGAAUGUGAUUUUUUUUAAGUACAUCUCCAUAGACAGGUGAAGGAAAUGUAUGCACAAGAAAUUGUAAAAUCUUGUUCCCCAACCUCAGAGACCCAUUUUCCAAGAAUGGCUAUGAACAUUUUUAUGAUAGCAACAGUAGUACUGGGUACUUGGCCUGGAGAAUUAAAACUAUUCAGAGAUGCAGUGCUAAAGAAAGGCAGUCAUCAUUUUGAGGACCAUCUGAUGAAGACAAGUCGGGAGGACCAACUGUUGGACGAGUUACCCAAUUCAUUCCAGAGACUGUCCUGUCUGAAGAUGAGUGCACGGAAGCGAUGUUACUGAUGAAACAUUCGGCUGACGUGGACAUGGUCAUCAAAAAGAUGAAGCUGACAUUUGCUCAUCGGCAUAACAUGGUCCUGGACCCACAGCAGUCAAGCAACAUUCUAUCUUAUUUUCCUCGCUUUAAAGACAUCAAAGGCUUGGUUGAACAGGAUUUUGUUCUAAUGUUUGGAGAGGAUGUAUCGGGCAAGUUUGUGGAGAAGUGGCCAACCACACUCAAAAAGAAGAUCAUCCAACAAUGCAGAAAGCUUCCCUCCAUCACUGAGCUUGAGGAACUCCUGAUGGCAGCUGACCCUCCUGAGGAUGGGACUGAAGUGAAUGUUGACUUUGGUUGGGACAGUGACCUCUCAUCGAUUUUGCUGCUCUUACACUUGAUCCCACCGACUGCUCUAGGUCGGAAGAGGCCAGGAAAAGUUUCUGCAUCCCGGGCUGAGAAGCAUCUUGGGGUCUUCUAGAAGACUGGAACAAGCAUCCAAGAACAUCUUGACACCAUUACUACCAGCACUCAACCCUAUCUCCUGGCUGUUGGAGUGAGGAAGAAUACAACCCACCAGUUCUUCAUAAUUCUCGACAAGAAUGCCAUACCUUGCAGGUCACACUCCUCUCUUGGUGCUUUUGAUGAACUGUUUAAAGCACACUUUGUGUUUGCGACAUCCUACCACACCAUGCUCCACACCAUGUACACAGUCAUCCAGACUACUUUGUACAACAUUGAUGUUGGGAAGGUCAAAGAGUCCUCAUGUUGCUGAAAUUAGGACAAGGUUGCUUCUGUAGUGUUUGACUUUUGUCUUCCACCAUUAAGUGUUUUGUUUGUCAGGCUGAGUUCCCUAGUUCAAACAUGCUUGUUCGACAUUUACGUUUAGUUCACGGUUACCUGCCUGGAAAAAAUCUUAACCUUAAAUGCGUUCAAACUGGAUGUGGUGGUGUGUUUGGUACUUUCUCUGGUUUUAGGAAGCAUUUGAAAACAAAACACUCAGAGUGUACUGAACUACAGAUUGGCACCAAUGUUCACUUAAACAGGACAGAAGAGACAGUGUCAGUUAAUGUAGAUGAGUCAGCCACAACAUCUGAACAGUUGAGACAAGCUAAUAGGAGCAGUCUGGAUAUGUGUGCCACUGCUGUUGCACAACUUAAGGCAGCUGGAUUAAGUCAGUCUACUAUGAAUGGUUUUGUCUCAUCCAUGGAGGAAGUGUACAGAGUACCGCUGUGACUUCAUUGUCUGUUCAGAAGUGGCAUUUGACAUGCCUGUGUUUUGUAAGAUAAAAAAUAUUAUUGUCAAAGAUGAUGAUGUAUUGCUCUGUGGGAAACUGAUGGAAACUGUGUGUUUUGAGGAGCAUUACCAAGCCUAUAAGGUCAGGCUGCAUCCAGUCAAAGUUGUUAAGGUUUUGGACAUAACAAAACUGCCUUACUCCAAACCAUUUGAUGUUCAAAUGGCGUAUGGAACAUCAUGUUCCACAUUCUAUGUUGUCCCAUAUUGCCAUUUCAUGCAGCCCUAAGGUCACCCUUUCUGUAUUCUCUCCCUAAAGUUGAUUGUUCUGCCUGACAAAGAAAU